RNAcentral lists this ribosomal RNA (223 nucleotides) under uncultured bacterium. RNAcentral describes it as "partial 16S ribosomal RNA". It matches the Rfam family "Bacterial small subunit ribosomal RNA", at positions 29 to 262 of the family's 1533-position model. The record is from RNAcentral.
ACGAACGCUGGCGGCGUGCUUAACACAUGCAAGUCACGGGGGUCCCGCAAGGGAUAACCGGCGAACGGGUGCGUAACACGUGAACAACCUGCCCUCGUGUGGGGGAUAGCCAUGCUAACGCGUGGGUAAUACCGCAUACGGUCCUUUGGGGGAGUCCCUGGGGGAAGAAAGCUCCGGCGCACGGGGAGGGGUUCGCGGCCUAUCAGCUAGUUGGGGGGUAGUA